This 494-nucleotide ribosomal RNA is filed under the name uncultured bacterium. RNAcentral's name for it is "partial 16S ribosomal RNA". It matches the Rfam family "Bacterial small subunit ribosomal RNA", at positions 28 to 507 of the family's 1533-position model. The record is from RNAcentral.
GACGAACGCUGGCGGCGUGCUUAACACAUGCAAGUCGGACGGUGAAGCGCCUUCCUUUUUGGUGGGUGUGGAUGAGUGGCGAACGGGUGAGUAACACGUGAGUAACCUGCCCCCUUCUUCUGGAUAACCGCAUGAAAGUGUGGCUAAUACGGGAUAUUCUGGGUCUGUCGCAUGAUGGGUCUGGGAAAGAUAUUGUUUCGGUGGGGGAUGGGCUCGCGGCCUAUCAGCUUGUUGGUGGGGUGAUGGCCUACCAAGGCGGUGACGGGUAGCCGGCCUGGGAGGGUGGACGGUCACACUGGGACUGAGACACGGCCCAGACUCCUACGGGAGGCAGCAGUGGGGAAUAUUGCACAAUGGGCGCAAGCCUGAUGCAGCGACGCCGCGGGAGGGAUGGAGGCCUUCGGGUUGUGAACCUCUUUCGCCAGUGAAGCAGGCCUGCCUCGUUUGUGGGUGGGUUGACGGUAGCUGGAUAAGAAGCGCCGGCUAACUACGUG